CUCGGUGGUCUUAGCGAGAGGUGCUCCACCCGAUCCCAUUCCGAACUCGGCCGUGAAAACUCUCAGCGCUGAUGGUACUAUGUCUCAAGGCAUGGGAGAGUAAGUCGCCGCCGAGC
RNAcentral lists this ribosomal RNA (116 nucleotides) under Alphaproteobacteria bacterium. Lineage: Bacteria; Pseudomonadati; Pseudomonadota; Alphaproteobacteria. RNAcentral also lists the same sequence under 2 other names. The record is from RNAcentral.